Molecule: small nuclear RNA, 107 nt
Organism: Zalophus californianus (California sea lion)
Lineage: Eukaryota; Metazoa; Chordata; Mammalia; Carnivora; Otariidae
Source: Ensembl
GUGUUCACUUGGGCAGCACAGAGACUAAAGUCGGAACCAGACAGAGAAGAUUAUCAUGGUCCCUACUCGAGAAUGCCUCGCAAAUUCGUGAAGCAGUCCUAUUUUUU